GCCAUCCCAGUUCGGAUCGCAGGCUGCAACCCGCCUGCGUGAAGUUGGAAUCGCUAGUAAUCGCGGAUCAGCAUGCCGCGGUGAAUACGUUCCCGGGCCUUGUACACACCGCCCGUCACACCAUGAGAGUCGGGAACACCCGAAGUCCGUAGCCUAACAGCAAGUGGGGGCGCGGCCGAAGGUGGGUUCGAUAAUUGGGGUGAAGUCGUAACAAGGUACC
This 220-nucleotide ribosomal RNA is filed under the name uncultured bacterium. RNAcentral describes it as "partial 16S ribosomal RNA". It matches the Rfam family "Bacterial small subunit ribosomal RNA", at positions 1282 to 1500 of the family's 1533-position model. The record is from RNAcentral.